CAUCAUCAACCCCCCGGUGGUUUUGCCACCGGGUUGGGACUGGACUUGGAGGCUGUGCUGGACGCAAGUCCGGCUCCUCUCGAAUGCAUUAGCUGGAAGCGGGCGGAUCGACGCGCUGUGUGAUAGUCUUAUCCACUGUGCGCUGACCUGCAUAUAUGCGCCGGCUUAUAACUACAAACUCUCUAAA
This 187-nucleotide unclassified non-coding RNA is filed under the name uncultured Hyphodontia. RNAcentral describes it as "sequence contains ITS2". The record is from RNAcentral. Lineage: Eukaryota; Fungi; Basidiomycota; Agaricomycetes; Corticiales; Corticiaceae.